CCACAUAUGUGCUAACAUUUGAUACAGCUUAGAAUUUAAAAAAACAUAAAAGAAGGCUAUAAAGUAAAAGUUACAAAAAAGGGGGAGGAAAAGGAAAAGGAGACAGAUGAUUUUAUCAGAAACUUGGAAUGAGGCACUUGUCACAACUAAACACUGAAUUUACCCUGGGCUUCCUGACCACAAAUAGUAGUGAUGAAACUAAGCUCCUCAUUUUUAUAUAUUUAUAACCACAUAGACAGCACUUUGUUUAUCUCAUUUAAUCCCCCUGGUUUCACAUAUUUUGAAACCAAGGGAAUCACAUAUGUAAAGAAUUUUCUGAGUUGCAUGGUUAUAAGCCAAAACUGCCUAAACUAAUGUAAUGAAAUUACAUUAUGGACUAAUUGAAGGUCUACGAUUACUUAUCCAAAACUACUGGGAACAGAAUUCAGAAUUAUUCAGGAUUUUAAAAUGUAAUCAAUUAUAUAGAACCUAUGUUAAGUAUCAUAUGUUACAUAUCAUAUUCAGAUAAUCUAGGGUAGUACCCUAUAAUCAGACAGAUUACUAUUUCUAAAAUGAAAUCUAUAAGGGGUUACACUGGC
This 578-nucleotide long non-coding RNA is filed under the name Homo sapiens (human). RNAcentral's name for it is "HSALNT0127770". The record is from RNAcentral. Lineage: Eukaryota; Metazoa; Chordata; Mammalia; Primates; Hominidae.